UAAGCGGAGGAAAAGAAAAUAACAAUGAUUCCCUUAGUAACGGCGAGUGAAGGGGGAAAAGCUCAAAUUUUAAAUCUGCUAGGUUUUACCUAUCAGAGUUGUAUUUUGAAGAAGCGUUUUCCGCGUCUCGGUUGACCCAAAUCCUUUGGGAUGAGGUAUCAUGGAGGGUGAGAAUCCCGUCCGGUUGACCUUAUGACGCUUUACGAUACGUUUUCAAAGAGUCGAGUUGUUUGGGAUUGCAGCUCAAAAUGGGAGGUAAAUUUCUCCUAAGGCUAAAUAUUGGCGAGAGACCAAUAGUGAACAAGUACCGUGAGGGAAAGAUGAAAAGAACUUUGAAAAGAGAGUAAAAUAGUACGUGAAAUUGUUGAAAGGGAAACGAUUGAAGUCAGUCAAUACCGACGAGAAAUCAGCUCUUCGAGUGUGAACUUGUGGGCGUGUGAGAGCUUUAAACCCUCGCUGUUUGCAACGUUUGUGCCUUUUGGGUGUACUUUUGCGUAUGGUAGGCCAACAUCAGUUUCGAGCACCAUAAAAUGACCGGCGGAAUGUAGCUUCGAUCUUGUAUUGAAGUGUUAUAGCUUCUGGUAGAUGUGGUGUUCGGGACUGAGGAUUGCAACGAAUACCUUUUAGGCUAUCCGUCUGAUCUCUGAAAGUCGCUUAGGUGCCGAAAAGCAUGCUUACGGUUAUUUUAAGUUUGACGGUCAAAAAGGUUUAGAACGUGAUUACAUUCGUUAAGGAUGUUGGCGUAAUGGCUUUAAACGACCCGUCUUGAAACACGGACCAAAGGAGGUCUAACAUAUAUGCGAUGUUA
RNAcentral lists this ribosomal RNA (808 nucleotides) under uncultured Glomeraceae. RNAcentral describes it as "LSU rRNA". It matches the Rfam family "Eukaryotic large subunit ribosomal RNA", at positions 47 to 694 of the family's 3401-position model. The record is from RNAcentral. Lineage: Eukaryota; Fungi; Glomeromycota; Glomeromycetes; Glomerales; Glomeraceae.